RNAcentral lists this ribosomal RNA (251 nucleotides) under uncultured bacterium. Its description in RNAcentral is "partial 16S ribosomal RNA". It matches the Rfam family "Bacterial small subunit ribosomal RNA", at positions 525 to 775 of the family's 1533-position model. The record is from RNAcentral.
ACGUAGGUGGCAAGCGUUGUCCGGAAUUACUGGGUGUAAAGGGAGCGUAGGCGGGAAGACAAGUUGGGAGUGAAAUGUAUGGGCUUAACCCAUAAACUGCUUUCAAAACUGUUUUUCUUGAGUGAAGUAGAGGCAGGCGGAAUUCCUAGUGUAGCGGUGAAAUGCGUAAAUAUUAGGAGGAACACCAGUGGCGAAGGCGGCCUGCUGGGCUUUAACUGACGCUGAGGCUCGAAAGCGUGGGUAGCAAACAG